GAUGAACGCUGGCGGCGUGCCUAAUACAUGCAAGUCGAGCGAACAGACGAGGAGCUUGCUCCUCUGACGUUAGCGGCGGACGGGUGAGUAACACGUGGAUAACCUACCUAUAAGACUGGGAUAACUUCGGGAAACCGGAGCUAAUACCGGAUCAUAUAUUGAACCGCAUGGUUCAAUAGUGAAAGACGGUUUUGCUGUCACUUAUAGAUGGUUCCGCGCCGCAUUAGCUAGUUGGUAAGGUAACGGCUUACCAAGGCAACGAUGCGUAGCCGACCUGAGAGGGUGAUCGGCCACACUGGAACUGAGACACGGUCCAGACUCCUACGGGAGGCAGCAGUAGGGAAUCUUCGGCAAUGGGCGAAAGCCUGACGGAGCAACGCCGCGUGAGUGAUGAAGGUCUUCGGAUCGUAAAACUCUGUUAUUAGGGAAGAACAAAUGUGUAAGUAACUAUGCACGUCUUGACGGUACCUAAUCAGAAAGCCACGGCUAACUACGUG
RNAcentral lists this ribosomal RNA (497 nucleotides) under uncultured bacterium. Its description in RNAcentral is "partial 16S ribosomal RNA". It matches the Rfam family "Bacterial small subunit ribosomal RNA", at positions 28 to 507 of the family's 1533-position model. The record is from RNAcentral.